RNAcentral lists this ribosomal RNA (453 nucleotides) under uncultured bacterium. RNAcentral describes it as "bacterial SSU rRNA". It matches the Rfam family "Bacterial small subunit ribosomal RNA", at positions 29 to 526 of the family's 1533-position model. The record is from RNAcentral.
AACGAACGCUGGCGGCAGGCCUAACACAUGCAAGUCGAACGCCGUAGCGAUACGGAGUGGCAGACGGGUGAGUAACACGUGGGAACAUACCCUUCGGUUCGGAAUAACUCAGGGAAACUUGAGCUAAUACCGGAUACGUCCGCGAGGAGAAAGAUUCAUCGCCGGAGGAUUGGCCCGCGUCUGAUUAGCUUGUUGGUGAGGUAACGGCUCACCAAGGCGACGAUCAGUAGCUGGUCUGAGAGGAUGAUCAGCCACAUUGGGACUGAGACACGGCCCAAACUCCUACGGGAGGCAGCAGUGGGGAAUAUUGGACAAUGGGCGCAAGCCUGAUCCAGCCAUGCCGCGUGAGUGAUGAAGGCCCUAGGGUUGUAAAGCUCUUUUACCCGGGAAGAUAAUGACUGUACCGGGAGAAUAAGCCCCGGCUAACUUCGUGCCAGCAGCCGCCGCAGUAAC